Molecule: long non-coding RNA, 1298 nt
Organism: Micropterus salmoides (largemouth bass)
Lineage: Eukaryota; Metazoa; Chordata; Actinopteri; Centrarchiformes; Centrarchidae
Exons: 2
Source: RefSeq, a predicted model, not a curated record
CCGGCCUGUGGAUCGGCCCUCGUUGAGUCCAUGCCGGGGAGCGAAAUGGCUUCGUCGAUGAUAUUGCACCUGCCUCUUAGCAGCCGCAGCCAUGGACCCCAGCCAUUACUGGCAGGGGAAAUAAAUAAAUUAAUAAAUAGCGGGCUGCCGGUGCUGCUGGCCAGGCUCGGGCGUUGAUGGUGAUGUCUCCCUAUGGGAGAGGCUCUCCCUGCUGUUCAGAUGGAGGAGCCAGCUGACCGACUCUGGCUGACGUCACACCGUCUGCAUCAAGCAAGCGGACUCAUUACGUCAAGCCAGAGAGACUAUACCGGAAGCCAGCUUCACGAUUUCAAAAUAAAGAUGAUUUAAAUUGUUACUUUAUGCAGCUUUCCAAUGAUGGCACAAAGGCACAUUACUCACUCACUCCACCGAUAUUGCGCAUUAAAGGCCAGUUCACUUGUCACGAUAUAGCCUACUGCUCACCCUGUGUCAGCUGCUCUGGUGGGAGCUUUCUAAAGUCUGAGAAAGUAACCCUAGUGCUUUCAUCCCGUUUAUCUGUUUGAGUUUGGAGACAACACAUUUAUGACAAAAUCUGUGUGACAAACUGAGGGUGUAGAGUUUGAAACAGAUGGGCAUUUCCCAGACAGGGAGGGUCAAACAAAAAAAUGCUAUUGGUUGCAUUAUGGGAAAUGUAGGAUUCAGAGUUUCUGAAGCUUGACCCAUACUAGGGACUAAAAAGAUAUUUCAGCCUUCGCUACUUCAGCUUUGACAGUUUUUUCCCAUUCUUUCUUCUUUAAAUUUGUCUCUUUUGUGUGUUCCAAUGUCAAUUAAGUGCAGUGCUUACUUGCUGGAGUGCCCCUUUAAAUAAACAGUUCAGUCAUUUCAAUGUUUAAAAUACUAGUUUUAUGAUGUAAGCUCUCUAUCCUUAAACACUACUUUAUUCUUAGUGAGCUCUUUUAUGAAAUCUCUUAAUCUUGUAGACAUUAGAAAAUAAUCACAUUCCUUUUUUUAACAAGUUUUCAUUCUUAAGAUCUAACUUAAUUGAUUUGUUCAGUGCUCAAAUAUUCUGGUUCAGAUGACAAAUUUUAGGUCUGGGAUGUCACAGUUUGUUAAUCUUCUUCCCCAUGCCGUUUCAAAUUGGGAUAGUUUGAACUUCUCUAUACUGUCUGAAAAAUAUGGAAAUAUGCUGAAACCACACAAAUCUGAUCAGGACAUUAUAUUUUUCUCAUUUACAUGUUCUGUUAUAUUUUCUGCAAAUGUUGUUUCCCUAAAUAGUGAUCUAAAUAUCAAAUUCCCAUAAACAAUAGGCCUACUGAGGA